CAGUAGCCGCGGUAAUACGGAGGGCGCGAGCGUUACCCGGAUUUACUGGGCGUAAAGGUCGUGUAGGCGGCCUGGGGCGUCCCAUGUGAAAGGCCACGGCUCAACCGUGGAGGAGCGUGGGAUACGCUCAGGCUAGAGGGUGGGAGAGGGUGGUGGAAUUCCCGGAGUAGCGGUGAAAUGCGCAGAUACCGGGAGGAACGCCGAUGGCGAAGGCAGCCACCUGGUCCACUCCUGACGCUGAGGCGCGAAAGCGUGGGGAGCAAACCGGAUUAGAUACCCGUGUAGUCCCUGUCUCUUAUAC
This 301-nucleotide ribosomal RNA is filed under the name uncultured bacterium. RNAcentral describes it as "partial 16S ribosomal RNA". It matches the Rfam family "Bacterial small subunit ribosomal RNA", at positions 509 to 807 of the family's 1533-position model. The record is from RNAcentral.